RNAcentral lists this ribosomal RNA (420 nucleotides) under Triticum aestivum (bread wheat). RNAcentral's name for it is "partial small subunit ribosomal RNA". Lineage: Eukaryota; Viridiplantae; Streptophyta; Magnoliopsida; Poales; Poaceae. The record is from RNAcentral.
AUGGGUGGUCUAAAUUGCCUUCGCAUCCUAGAGCUGCGUGUGAUGGAGGCGUCAACCCAGGAUGUCAAUCUUCUUGGAGAGCUUCCGUCCCUCGUAGUACUCUGGCUCAUGGCGUUAAAUAUCCCAAAAGAAAGAGUUAGAUUGGGCACGGGACUGUUCCCGGUUCUGAAGAGCCUCACAUUUUCUGCUAUGGAAGGUGUUGGGGCUUACCUAGGGUUCAAGGCGGGGGCCAUGCCCAACCUACGAGACCUCAAAAUCUCCACAUGGGGGGAACGCGCUGUACCAGUUGGCCUGGAGCACCUGUUACGCCUUGAGAAGAUCGUUCUGGAUGGGGCUCGCACCGGUGAUGCCAUAGUGUCUGCGUUCAGGGAUGCUUUAUCAGCACACCCAAAUCACCCUUUCGUUCGCACCGCAUUUUAG